Molecule: long non-coding RNA, 1268 nt
Filed under: Vitis vinifera (wine grape)
Lineage: Eukaryota; Viridiplantae; Streptophyta; Magnoliopsida; Vitales; Vitaceae
Description: long non-coding RNA (VVIN_LNC002319)
Source: RNAcentral
AGUGUCUCUCACACUCUGCUUACCUGCAAGGAUGGAGCUAGGGUCUGUUCAUGGGACCUAUAAUUUGUUUCACUAUUUUUUAUUUUUAAAAAAUAAAGUAAAAGUUAGUAGAAAAUCUCGUAUGGGUAGAAGGAAAAAAAGAAAAAUUAAAAAAUCCGAAAAGUUUAAGAAAUUUUAGAGAGAUGAUUUGGAAGCUAGAGUUUCAUGCAUUUAAAUGAUAGGCGACAUGCAUUUUUCUCUUUAUUUAUAUACUAUCUCUUAGAGUUUGGUGACCCGAAUUUUAUUUAGUCACACCUAAAAAGCUUGUGAUGCGACAUAUGUAGUGAAGUUAUAAUUAUAGAACCAUCGAUCUCGUUGGAGGUGUGGGGGCUUUGCCCUCGUAAUUCGGACCAUUGUUAAUAUAUGUACAUGUAAUGAUAUAUAGUUUUAGGGUUACGAUGAUUAUGUUUCCGCUAUAGCUGUUUACAAUUCUCCUCUCUUGUAUUAAUAUUUUGAUAUAGGGAAGUCUAUGAUUUUUUUUCAUCUAGGAUUUUUCAUAUAAAUCUAUGUUUUUUUAUUCUUUAGUUUAUUUUAUUGCAUAUUCUCAUUAUUGUGUAACAAGUUAGUAAAUAUAAAAAUAUGAGAAAAUAAGAAAAAAAAAAAAAAAGAAAGAAAGAAAAGAAAAUGGGAUAAUCAGCCUCAAGAGUAGUUUAAAAGAUUGAAUUUUUAGAACAAAAUUUUAAAAAUGAAAAAAAAUCUAAUAAUAUGUUUAAAAAUAUUUGUGUCAUAUCAUCAUGAAUAUUCAAAACCCGAAAAUCCAAAAAAAGAAAAAAACUAAUAAUAUUUGGUUGGAUGCAGAAGAGAUGGUGGUGCCAAGUGAGGCAAGAGUCUGUGAGUCACAAAGCCAUAAGUUCGAGGGUGCAUGCAUGGGAGACCACAACUGUGCUCUGGUCUGCAGGAAUGAAGGCUUCUCCGGCGGCAAGUGCAAAGGCUUGCGCCGCCGAUGCUUCUGCACCAAGCUCUGUUAAAAUCCCACCUUUCUUCUGCUGUUUGUAGCUAAGAGUUCAAGCAAUAAACAAAGAACUGAGCCCAUAGGCUUGCUGGUUGCCUCGGUUCUUGGUUGAGUGGGUUUUAUUUCAGGGUUUACUGUUUGGCUUUUGUGAGUACAUCUCAUGAAUAAAGAGUCUGUCCAUGUCCACCCUCUUGGGAGGGCAAGUAGGGUUUAAUACCCGAGCCAUGUACAAGUUUGAACUUAAUUUCUUUUGGUAUUUUAGUUCUAUUUUGCUUUA